AUCGCUUCUCGGCCUAUUGGCUAAGAUCAAGUGUAGUAUCUGUUCUUAUCAGUUUAAAAUACUGUUUAAGCAGAUCAUUUUUUAAAAAAGAAUACAUUACAAAAUUGAGUAUCUUAAAAUGUAUCCCUU
Molecule: small nuclear RNA, 129 nt
Filed under: Suricata suricatta (meerkat)
Lineage: Eukaryota; Metazoa; Chordata; Mammalia; Carnivora; Herpestidae
Description: U2 spliceosomal RNA (ENSSSUG00005010835.1)
Rfam family: U2 spliceosomal RNA
About the family: U2 is a small nuclear RNA (snRNA) component of the spliceosome (involved in pre-mRNA splicing).
Source: Rfam by way of RNAcentral